Molecule: ribosomal RNA, 251 nt
Filed under: uncultured bacterium
Lineage: Bacteria
Description: partial 16S ribosomal RNA
Rfam family: Bacterial small subunit ribosomal RNA
Source: RNAcentral
UACGGGGGGGCAAGCGUUGUUCGGAAUUACUGGGCGUAAAGGGCUCGUAGGCGGCCAACUAAGUCAGACGUGAAAUCCCUCGGCUUAACCGGGGAACUGCGUCUGAUACUGGAUGGCUUGAGUUUGGGAGAGGGAUGCGGAAUUCCAGGUGUAGCGGUGAAAUGCGUAGAGAUGGGGAGAACACUCGUGGCGAAGGCGGCCAGCUAGACCAGUUCUGACACUGAGGCGCGACAGCGUGGGGAGCAAACAGG